Molecule: ribosomal RNA, 253 nt
Filed under: uncultured bacterium
Lineage: Bacteria
Description: partial 16S ribosomal RNA
Rfam family: Bacterial small subunit ribosomal RNA
Source: RNAcentral
UACGUAGGUGGCGAGCGUUGUCCGGAUUUACUGGGCGUAAAGGGAGCGUAGGCGGACUUUUAAGUGAGAUGUGAAAUACUCGGGCUCAACUUGAGUGCUGCAUUUCAAACUGGAAGUCUAGAGUGCAGGAGAGGAGAAUGGAAUUCCUAGUGUAGCGGUGAAAUGCGUAGAGAUUAGGAAGAACACCAGUGGCGAAGGCGAUACUCUGGACUGUAACUGACGCUGAGGCUCGAAAGCGUGGGGAGCAAACAGG